AUUGAACGCUGGCGGCAGGCCUAACACAUGCGAGUCGAACGGUAACAUGAAGCAGCUUGCUGCUUCGCUGACGAGUGGCGGACGGGUGAGUAAUGUCUGGGAAGCUGCCUGAUGGAGGGGGAUAACUACUGGAAACGGUAGCUAAUACCGCAUAAUGUCGCAAGACCAAAGAGGGGGACCUUCGGGCCUCUUGCCAUCGGAUGUGCCCAGAUGGGAUUAGCUUGUUGGUGGGGUAACGGCUCACCAAGGCGACGAUCCCUAGCUGGUCUGUGAGGAUGACCAGCCACACUGUAACUGAGACACGGUCCAGACUCCUACGGGAGGCAGCAGUGGGGAAUAUUGCACAAUGGGCGCAAGCCUGAUGCAGCCAUGCCGCGUGUAUGAAGAAGGCCUUCGGGUUGUAAAGUACUUUCAGCGGGGAGGAAGGGAGUAAAGUUAAUACCUUUGCUCAUUGACGUUACCCGCAGAAGAAGCACCGGCUAACUCCGUG
This 490-nucleotide ribosomal RNA is filed under the name uncultured bacterium. RNAcentral describes it as "partial 16S ribosomal RNA". It matches the Rfam family "Bacterial small subunit ribosomal RNA", at positions 30 to 507 of the family's 1533-position model. The record is from RNAcentral.